RNAcentral lists this ribosomal RNA (253 nucleotides) under uncultured prokaryote. RNAcentral's name for it is "partial 16S ribosomal RNA". It matches the Rfam family "Bacterial small subunit ribosomal RNA", at positions 525 to 777 of the family's 1533-position model. The record is from RNAcentral.
ACGGAGGGUGCAAACGUUGCUCGGAAUCAUUGGGCGUAAAGCGCACGUAGGCGGCCUAGCAAGUCGGGUGUGAAAUCCCUCGGCUUAACCAAGGAAGUGCACUCGAAACUGCUGGGCUUGAGUACGGGAGAGGGUUGCGGAAUUCCCGGUGUAGAGGUGAAAUUCGUAGAUAUAGGAAGGAACACCAGUGGCGAAGGCGACUUGCUGGAUCUUUGCUGACGCUGAGACGCGAAAGCGUGGGGAGCAAACAGGA